CGCACGGGUGCGUAACACGUAUGCAACCUACCUUAAACUGGGAGAUAGCCCGGGGAAACUCGGAUUAAUACCCCAUAACACAGUGUAAACACAUGUUUGUAUUGUUAAAGAUUUAUCGGUUUAAGAUGGGCAUGCGUUCGAUUAGCUAGUUGGCGAGGUAAUGGCUCACCAAGGCUACGAUCGAUAGGGGGUCUGAGAGGAUGAUCCCCCACACUGGUACUGAGAUACGGACCAG
Molecule: ribosomal RNA, 235 nt
Filed under: uncultured bacterium
Lineage: Bacteria
Description: partial 16S ribosomal RNA
Rfam family: Bacterial small subunit ribosomal RNA
Source: RNAcentral